UUUUUGCUCCACAUAUGCAUGCUUUCUACGAUUCGGAGAUCAGUGCAGCCCAAAGAUCACAUUGGAUUCUCCUCACUACACUCCAUCUUCUAACCUAGUCUGCAUCACGGCUAGGUGCAUCCGUUGCCAAGUUCAUCCAAUAUAUGCCAACCGCAUUGCAAGGACGACCAUAUGCACACACACACCACAGUCCACAGGAGACAGAUAGCUAGCUAGCUUACUCUUUAGUCAUACAUACACUUAUAAAUAGCCACCGGCUCUGUGCUCAUCAGCAAGGCAGAUUAAACAAGUGAAGUGGUCCACAUCAAAAAUGAAGUAAUCAGGUCUAGGGAGUCAAAAUUUGGUUGGUUGUCCACUGGAGUUCUCCUCAAUCCACUUCAGUAGAUAGCUAUGGCUAGGCCUCAUUGCAUUGCACUGUUACAUAACUGUGAUCAUGGGGCCAAAAGCUAGCUAUGUAUAGUGAAGUGCUUGGGGGAACUCCAGUUGACACUCAGCAUUUUCAAGUUAGGUAUGUAAGUGCUUGUACUUUAUGAAUUUGUAAGUGACAGAGAAUGAUUAGGUUUGGAGUCCCUAGGAGUUCCUUUCAAGCACUUUACGACACACUGUAUUGAGAGUUGUCGUGAAGUGUUUGGGGGAACUCUUAGUG
Molecule: precursor RNA, 646 nt
Filed under: Oryza sativa Indica Group (long-grained rice)
Lineage: Eukaryota; Viridiplantae; Streptophyta; Magnoliopsida; Poales; Poaceae
Description: putative precursor microRNA R395ab
Rfam family: mir-395 microRNA precursor family (bases 565-646)
Source: RNAcentral